Molecule: long non-coding RNA, 342 nt
Filed under: Phoenix dactylifera (date palm)
Lineage: Eukaryota; Viridiplantae; Streptophyta; Magnoliopsida; Arecales; Arecaceae
Description: long non-coding RNA (PDAC_LNC018341)
Source: RNAcentral
UAUGACCUACUGUACCACAGCAAAAGCAAGUUAUUUUCUUAGUUUUAGUUUCUCCAGCUUUAACAAAGAAGUUACUAAGAAGUUUUUGUUUAUUUCUUGGUUUAUACCCUAAACCCGCUUUAUUAAAUACUGCUCGUUGACUAUUUAAUAUCAUGUUUAAUUUUUCCGAACUAUAUGUAAAUUUUUCAACUAAGGGUUUGUAUUUGUUAAGUUCUUUAGUUAAUAUUUGAUUUUCUGCUUUUAGAUCAUUAAGUUCUUUUGUGAGAUCCUUAUUUAAGAUUUGUUUAUGAUUUUUAAGUUCUGAAAAUUCCUUAGUUAGUUUUUCAUUAUCUUUAGUUAAGG